ACGAACUCUGGCGGCGUGCUUCACACAUGCCAGUCGCACGGAAAGGCCCUGCUUUUGUGGGGUGCUCGAGUGGCGAACGGGUGAGUAACACGUGAGUAACCUGCCCUUGACUUUGGGAUAACUUCAGGAAACUGGGGCUAAUACCGGAUAGGAGCUCCUGCUGCAUGGUGGGGGUUGGAAAGUUUCGGCGGUUGGGGAUGGACUCGCGGCUUAUCAGCUUGUUGGUGGGGUAGUGGCUUACCAAGGCUUUGACGGGUAGCCGGCCUGAGAGGGUGACCGGCCACAUUGGGACUGAGAUACGGCCCAGACUCCUACGGGAGGCAGCAGUGGGGAAUAUUGCACAAUGGGCGGAAGCCUGAUGCAGCAACGCCGCGUGCGGGAUGACGGCCUUCGGGUUGUAAACCGCUUUCGCCUGUGACGAAGCGUGAGUGACGGUAAUGGGUAAAGAAGCACCGGCUAACUACGUG
This 467-nucleotide ribosomal RNA is filed under the name uncultured bacterium. RNAcentral's name for it is "partial 16S ribosomal RNA". It matches the Rfam family "Bacterial small subunit ribosomal RNA", at positions 29 to 507 of the family's 1533-position model. The record is from RNAcentral.